RNAcentral lists this ribosomal RNA (500 nucleotides) under uncultured bacterium. RNAcentral's name for it is "bacterial SSU rRNA". It matches the Rfam family "Bacterial small subunit ribosomal RNA", at positions 28 to 507 of the family's 1533-position model. The record is from RNAcentral.
GAUGAACGCUAGCUACAGGCUUAACACAUGCAAGUCGAGGGGCAGCAUGGUGGAUGCUUGCAUUCACCGAUGGCGACCGGCGUAUGGGUGAGUAACGCGUAUCCAACCUGGCGUGCACACCGGCACAGCCCCUGGAAACGGGGAUUAAUUCCGGAUGGUGUGGAUUAGGCGCAUGCCUUGUCCACUAAAGGUCUUCCGGUGCACGAUGGGGAUGCGUUCCAUUAGGCAGUUGGCGGGGUAACGGCCCACCAAGCCUUCGAUGGAUAGGGGUUCUGAGAGGAAGGUCCCCCACACUGGAACUGAGACACGGUCCAGACUCCUACGGGAGGCAGCAGUGAGGAAUAUUGGUCAAUGGCCGGAAGGCUGAACCAGCCAAGUAGCGUGAGGGAUGACACGCCCCGUACGGGUUAGUAAACCCUUCUUUUGGUCCGGGAAAGUAAAACGGGGGACGCCGUCCCCCCUUGCAUGUACCGGUUGAAUAAGGGCCGGCUAAUUCCGUG